AACAAGACCAGGCUGAACACAGGGAAUUUUCACUGUCCUGCCUCUUGCUCUGGUUCUCAGUGUUUGUUCAAGCUGCAGGGAGGAGAGGACUGAAAAGAGUGGCUGGGGAAGAGGAGAAGAGGUGCUUGACUCCAAUUCAAUCCAGAGCCCUUGGAGUUACUGCAGAUGCUCAGUCCUCCUGGAGGACUUGGAAAAUUGGAUGAAAUUGCACGUGCAGUGAAGACGGUGUGGGAUGAAGUUGCAAUGAUGGGGGCAAAAGCAGAAGAAGGACCUCCUGUCUCUCAGCUUCUCCCACCUCAGCCAUCUGCUUGCAUUAAUGCGCUAUUCCCAUGCGGAUUGUCAUUUAAACCAGCCUGCUCCCACAAACAUCCGUGCUUUGGGUCAUCUGAAUAUCAAAAAAGUUUCCUUUACCCAUGGGUUAGAAGGAUCACAGGCAGCAAGGGGACAGGGCCAUUGCUUGCCAUCCACGGGCACCAAUGGAAGGACAAGAUUCCCCGGCUUGAUGAGAAAAAUCUUCCCCCAUCAGCAUCUGAGCAGUUCCUGCUGGUAGAUCAGGACAACGCUCGAAGUCAGAAAUAAAUGGGAUUGAAUAAUUAAGUGCACUCUGGAACACGGGAAUGGCAGAGAGCUCCGCCAGAAAUAGGAAAUCGCAGCUAAUAAAGGCAAGCGACAGUGGAAAAUUCAUUAAGCAUCUCUCAGACAAGAACAUUUUGCCACUCGCAGGAAAAAAAAUUAAACUAGAAAUGAAGGAGAAUUUGUUCUACAGAUGGGCUUUUUUGAUAGGAACUACACAAAAAUCUGAAAAAAAAACGUUUGAUUAAAGAUUGGGAAAAAAUAAAGACGUAAAGAUGAGAUGAACAGUCUGCAACAUUCAUUGCAAUUUCAUGAAGCCCAAAUCCAUUCCUGUGGGUCUUGUCUGUGUAAGACAGGCUGGGAUGGGUGAGUUUUGGGGUGCAGUGAUUUCCUGGCCCUGAAGGCAGCUCACACAUGUGGGCACUUUGCUUGCAUGCUGCAUCUGCCAUGCUGCCCUGCUGGGAACUGGGGGAGGCAGGUUUUUUGCCAUUCUAUGGGCACUGAAAAUCCCAUUUUUAGAGGCAAUGGUAGCAUAACCCAGGCACUACUGAUGCUUGUGACUGUUGGCUGAAGUCAGCAGUGGAGGUAUAGGUGAGAGACGUGUUCUUCCUUCUCCAUGGUGACAAAACCAGGCUCCUCCCAAAGCAGUUCCUGCUCUUCCCAUCCCAUCCCAUACAGCUGGGCUCGUUGCUUGUCUCCUAACACCUUUGUUCUUCUCUCCCUCAUUGCUCCUGGAGGUGCUUUCCCAGUCUCACCCCAUGCAAUCCAGUCAUCAGAACAGCCUGAAACCUCCCAUAGCCAUCCCACGGGGGCACAGCUUGCACCACAUGUCCACGGCUCUGCGGCACUGGAUGGCUGCACAGAGUCAGGGUACCCAUCUGGCAUUGCUGUCUCCUGUGAAACGAAGGAGAGAAAUGAAACCCUUCAAACGCAGAACUGCCUGACACCACCACAACAGAGCUGACAGCCGUCCGUUUGCCUCGGAUCUGCUCGUUUGUGUCCUGAUGUGAAUGCAGCAUAUGGCCCCCAUCCAUCUUCCUAACACUCCAGCUCCAAGCUGUCUGCCUCGCCAGAUCAUAGAAUGAUAGAAUGAUAGAAUGGGCUGGGUUGCAAAGGAGCACAAUGCUCAUCCAGUUCCAACCCCCUGCUAUGUGCAGGGUCAACAACCAGCAGAGCAGGCUGCCCUGAGCCACAUCCUGCCUCCUUGCCUUCAGAUGGUGAGCUGAGACAAGAUAUCAGCACAGGAUGAGCCCCAGCUUGAUCUCUUGCAUUUAACAGCAGAGGUGGUGCAUACACAGAGAUAUUUUUCUAGCAAGAUUUGGAUACAGAGAUGUCACCCACCCAUUGGUUUGCAGUGUGGGGCAGUGAGAGGAGCUCCUCUCAACCCCUUUUUCAUGUGUUAUUUCUCCAUCUGUUUGCACCUCUUUUUUU
Molecule: long non-coding RNA, 2004 nt
Organism: Phasianus colchicus (ring-necked pheasant)
Lineage: Eukaryota; Metazoa; Chordata; Aves; Galliformes; Phasianidae
Source: RefSeq, a predicted model, not a curated record